RNAcentral lists this ribosomal RNA (233 nucleotides) under uncultured bacterium. Its description in RNAcentral is "partial 16S ribosomal RNA". It matches the Rfam family "Bacterial small subunit ribosomal RNA", at positions 15 to 228 of the family's 1533-position model. The record is from RNAcentral.
GAUCAUGGUUCAGGACGAACGCUGGCGGCGUGCUUAACACAUGCAAGUCGAACGANAAUCUGCGGAAAGAGGAUUCGUCCAAUUGAAGCAGAGGACAGUGGCGGACGGGUGAGUAACGCGUGAGGAACCUGCCUUUUCAGAGGGGGGACAACAGUUGGGAAACGACUGCUAAUACCGCAUGACAUAUAGAUGUCGCAUGGCAUUUAUAUCAAAGAUUUAUCGCUGAAAGAUGG